Molecule: ribosomal RNA, 456 nt
Filed under: uncultured bacterium
Lineage: Bacteria
Description: bacterial SSU rRNA
Rfam family: Bacterial small subunit ribosomal RNA
Source: RNAcentral
ACUCCUACGGGAGGCAGCAGUGGGGAAUAUUGCACAAUGGGCGCAAGCCUGAUGCAGCCAUGCCGCGUGUAUGAAGAAGGCCUUCGGGUUGUUAAAGUACUUUCAGCAGUGAGGAAGGUGGAGUCGUUAAUAGCGGCCUCAUUUGACGUUAGCUGCAGAAGAAGCACCGGCUAACUCCGUGCCAGCAGCCGCGGUAAUACGGAGGGUGCGAGCGUUAAUCGGAAUUACUGGGCGUAAAGCGCAUGCAGGUGGUUUGUUAAGUCAGAUGUGAAAGCCCGGGGCUCAACCUCGGAAUUGCAUUUGAAACUGGCAGACUAGAGUACUGUAGAGGGGGUAGAAUUUCAGGUGUAGCGGUGAAAUGCGUAGAGAUCUGAAGGAAUACCGGUGGCGAAGGCGGCCCCCUGGACAGAUACUGACACUCAGAUGCGAAAGCGUGGGGAGCAAACAGGAUUAGAU